UACGAGGGGGGCUAGCGUUGUUCGGAUUUACUGGGUGUAAAGGGAGUGUAGGCGGUUCGAUAAGUCAGAGGUGAAAUGCCCAUGCUUAACGUGGUGCUUUGCCUUUGAAACUGUCGGGCUUGAAUGUUGGAGAGGGUAAUGGAAUUCCAGGUGUAGCGGUGGAAUGCGUAGAUAUCUGGAAGAACACCAGUUGCGAAGGCGAUUACCUGGCCAAACAUUGACGCUGAGGCUCGAAAGCCGGGGGA
Molecule: ribosomal RNA, 245 nt
Filed under: uncultured bacterium
Lineage: Bacteria
Description: partial 16S ribosomal RNA
Rfam family: Bacterial small subunit ribosomal RNA
Source: RNAcentral